AGUGAACGCUGGCGGUAGGCCUAACACAUGCAAGUCGAACGGCAGCACAGUAAGAUCUUGCUCUUACGGGUGGCGAGUGGCGGACGGGUGAGGAAUACAUCGGAAUCUACUUUUUCGUGGGGGAUAACGUAGGGAAACUUACGCUAAUACCGCAUACGACCUACGGGUGAAAGCAGGGGAUCUUCGGACCUUUCGCGAUUGAAUGAGCCGAUGUCGGAUUAGCUAGUUGGCGGGGUAAAGGCCCACCAAGGCGACGAUCCGUAGCUGGUCUGAGAGGAUGAUCAGCCACACUGGAACUGAGACACGGUCCAGACUCCUACGGGAGGCAGCAGUGGGGAAUAUUGGGCAAUGGGCGCAAGCCUGAUCCAGCCAUACCGCGUGGGUGAAGAAGGCCUUCGGGUUGUAAAGCCCUUUUGUUGGGAAAGAAAAGCAGCAGGUUAAUACCCCGCUGUUCUGACGGUACCCAAAGAAUAAGCACCGGCUAACUUCGUG
This 492-nucleotide ribosomal RNA is filed under the name uncultured bacterium. RNAcentral's name for it is "partial 16S ribosomal RNA". It matches the Rfam family "Bacterial small subunit ribosomal RNA", at positions 29 to 507 of the family's 1533-position model. The record is from RNAcentral.